UACUGAACGCGAUACCUAGAUGAAGGAGAGACUAUAACAUACCUCUUGGCCCAGCACCUAGUUGAUGUAACUCUGCUCUCCUGCCUGGGCCACACCUACAGAAGAAAGAGUGACUUCUCACUGGGCCAGCACACAGGUCAUGUUAUUUUACUGCCUUGAUCCUUGUCCACAAUAAUCAUUGUACAUAGUUUUGGGCUCUUCUACUAGAAGACGUGCGGGAUGGUUAAAUAUCACUGGACCUAGCACCUAGGGAAUGUGACUCUUGUCUUUUGCAUCAGCCCCACUCGUUUUGAGAACUGUAACAUAUCACUGGGCCAAACACCUAGAAGAUGGGAAGUGUCUGCCUAUGCCCUGCAAACAGGGCUUUAGCCCUACCACUCUCAAGAGCCUCGUGACAUAUCUCUGCAUUCAUCAUCUAGGAGAUGUGACUCCUCCCUGCUGCCUGCGCUCUGCCUACAGGGAAGACCAUAACAACAUUUGGCCCAGCAACACGGUGAUGUGUUUUUUCCCAGGGCCUUGCUCACAGGGAGCAUUGUGACAUAUCACUGGAACCAGCAUCCAGGGCUGUGACUCUGUGUCCUGCUGUUAGAACAGGAUUGUAACAUAUCACUGACCAAGCACCCAGGUGAUGUGACUCUUCUGCCUGGUGCCUGCCUUCAGGGAAAAUUGUGACAUAUGCCUGGCCUAGCACCAAAGUGAUGUGGCUCUCCUGCUACCUCUAUGCACAGAUGGGUUGGUGAUGCUCAGACAAAUAUUCAGCACACCUGUGAGUCUGCGACUCCAGUAAUCAUCCACAGUCUGCAGGAGAAAUUGAGGCUCUCACCAACAAAUCAAGUGCACAAUUGAGAUUGCGACUCUUGUACUCAGACCCAACAUACAGAAUGUGUUGACUCUCAAUUUUAAAACCAGAACAUGUGUGAGAUUAUUAAUCUGAUCUCUAAACCAUCCUGCAAGUGUGAUUGUGACACAAGUCUCUGUUCAGUACUUGAGUGAUUUGACUCCUUUGCCUGGGCCCAGUCCAAAGAUGUAAUUGUGACAUAUCACUGAAACCAGCAUAUAGGAGAUGUGUCUCCAUACUCCUGCCUUGGUGCUGCCCACAGUGGGCACUGUGACAUAUCACUGGGCCUUGUAUCCAAGUGAUGACUGCCUGCAGGGGAUAUGGUGACAUUUUACUUUGCCCAGCACCAAGAUGACUUGAAUCUGCUGCCUUUGUUCUACUUUCAGAAGACAUUGUGACAUAUCGCUGGGCCUAGCACCAAGGUGAUGUGAAUCUUCUGCCUGGACCUGCUCACAGAGGGAAUUGUUACAUAUUUUUGACUUCAUCAACUAUUUGAUGUGACUCUCCUCUCUAACCUGGGCCUUGCCCAUAAAAAACAUUGUGGCUUAUCUCUGGGCCCAAAACCUAGGUGAUGUGACUGUCUUCUUAGGGUCAUGCCCACAGUAGAGAGAUGCCUUAUUGCUAAACCCAGCACACAGGUGAGGUGAUUCUUCUGUCUGGUCCCUGCCCACAGGGGUCAUGAUGACAUCUCUCUAAGCCCAUCACCUAGAUUAUGUGAGUUCUCUUUUUCUUCUGUUAGCUAUAUAGAAGAUUGUGACAUAUUGCUUGGCCCAGACCUCAUGUGAUGUGAAUCUCCUCUCAUGCCUUGGUCCUGUUUUUUUUUGGCCGUUGUUGUUUUGUUUUGUUUUUUGAGAUGGAGUCUUGCUCUGUUGCCUAAGCUGGAGUGCAGUGGCAUAAUCUAGGCUCACUGCAACCUCUGCCUCCUGGGUUCAAGUUAUUCUCCUGCCUCAGCCCCUGAAUAGCUAGGAUUAAAGGUGAGUGCCACCACACUCAGCUAAUUUUUGUAUUUUUAGUAGAGAUGGGGUUUCACCAUGUUGAUUAGGCUGGUAUUGAACUCCUGACUUCGUGAUCAACUCGCCUCUGCCUCCCAAACUUUUGGGAUUACAGGCAUGAGCCACCAUGCCCAGUCAAGAUGAUGAUACAUUUCUAAACCCAGGUUAUAGGCAGGUGAGGGUUCUUCUACCUAUACACACGUUUAAAGGGAUGUUGAAUCUCACACGUGGUCUCAGGGCCACAGGUACAAGCAUGGGUCUUCACCAGCAUGAAUAUCUCAGAGCAUACUGCGACUCUCCAGUGUAAUGUAUAAAGCUCUCAGGUGGGACAGUGUCCUAACAGGAUCCAGAACACAGAAAAGAUGUUGAUGCUCCUAUGCACACCCAGGUCACAGUAAAAUAUGUCAUUUUCCCACAUAAUCAUAGCCCAAUGUUGAGAUUCUGCAUCUCACACCUGAAAGAAGUUGAAAGAUGGAAAAUUGACUCUCUUAUAUAGAUCUGGUCUACAGGUAGGUUGGUGACAUUCAGAUCAAAAUUAAGUACACUUGUGAGGCUAUAACUCUUCUAAGAAGACACAGCUCACAGGAGCAACUGAUGCUCCUAUGAACAAAUCCAGUCCGUGAUUGAGAUUCUAACUCAUGUACUUAUUGUCAGGCCUCUGAGCCCAAGCUAAGCCAUCAUAUCCCCUGUGACCUGCACGUAUACAUCCAGAUGGCCUGAAGCAACCGAAUAUCCACAAAGGAAGUGAAAAUAGCCGUAACUGAUGACAUUCCACCAUUGUGAUUUGUUCCUGCCCCACCCUAACUGAUACGAUAUAUUCUCCCUCUGCCCUGAAGAAGGUACUUUGUAAUAGUCUCCCCCCACCUUAAAAAGGUACUUUGUAAUAUUCUCCCCACCCGUGAGAAUGUACUUUGUACACCUAUCCCAAACCUAUAAGAACUAAUGAUAAUCCCACCACGCUUUGCUGACUCCUUUUUUGGACUCAGCCCACCUGCACCCAGGUGAAAUAAACAGCCUUGUUGCUCACACAAAGCCUGUUUGGUGGACUCUCUUCACAGGGAUGUGCAUGACACUUAGACCCAACAUACAGCAGGUGUUGA
Molecule: long non-coding RNA, 2930 nt
Filed under: Homo sapiens (human)
Lineage: Eukaryota; Metazoa; Chordata; Mammalia; Primates; Hominidae
Description: HSALNT0396677
Source: RNAcentral